This is a non-coding RNA of Thamnophis sirtalis, 585 nucleotides long. The record is from RefSeq and is a predicted model, not a curated record. Lineage: Eukaryota; Metazoa; Chordata; Lepidosauria; Squamata; Natricidae.
GGGCGCGCGUGUGUGUCCGCCGUCGCGAGUCGCCUGGGGUCGUCUGAAGGCAGUCGUCCGUCGGGGCUGCAAGCUUUGCCCCCCCGCUCCCCCCCCCCUCCGGAGCCGUCCUCGGCUGGCUCUUUUCGCUGCAGAGUCGCCCUCCGACGCCCUCGCGCCCGUUUCCUUCGGCCCAACGCACACGCGGAGUCCGGAGGAAAAAAAAAAAUCCCCUGGCUGGAGUUGGACGAAGGGAGAACUUGAUGACUUGGCGUUGGCUUCGGGAUUCCUUUCGGCGACUGACAGCGGGAGGAGGAGAAGCAGGAGCGGAGGGGGAGGAGGAAGGAGGAGGAGGAGGAGAAAGCGGGCGUCGAGGGAACCCUGGCUUGAGGCCAAUUCAUCCUUAACUGAAAAAUAGGAAACAAUUCCAUGAAGUCAAAUAUGUGGACAAGAAAGUGAAUUAUUCCUCUUGAAAACAAACAACUAUUUUGAUCCUUGCUAUAAAUCUGAGCUUAUCACGUUUAAAACAUAUGCGCAGUGGAUGAUUUCUCAUCAUGAAUCGUGCUUUUAGCAGAAAGAAAGGUAAGCAGUUUCAAUUCAAUGAUA